CGUUCGCACUUAGUAUUACCUACCUGCCGACCUAAAGGAUUUCUAUUGGAUACUUACCUGUCUUCCUCGUUCUCAAGUUACCGCGUGUGCGUGUGCGUGUGCGUGUGCGUGUGCGUGUGCGUCCCGCAACGUCUCUUCUACUUGGAUUCUUCUAGGACCUUCAUCAUAUAUCAUCUCAAGGACAGUAUUCAGUUUACUCCCUCUCAUCCCUGACCUCAAGAACACUCGCUACUAUAUUUACUCAAAUACCAUCUUACCUGUUAUCUUCUGUCUCCGUCCCUUCUGUACUGUAACAAAACUAUGGAUCCUCUGUUCCCAGACCCAACCAUUCAUCUGAAGGACUGUGAAAAUAUGAACCCUUUGAACCACCGGUGACUGAUAUUUCACUGAAAUUAAAUAUAAUUUAAUUACAUUUAGUCUGCUAGUCAGAAUUAUAGCUGAUUAACCAUCUAAGCGCCAAAGUCGCAAAAUUGUGUCAAGACGUCAUACAUAAAAUAGACUGUAGUUCCUAAUAUGGUGUAAUAUCUCAUUUGUAUUCCCUACCACUAGAUGGCAGACAUGUAGUACUUCGAUUCUAGACCAUCAUUACGUCAUGUUCCUAUUCAAAGUGUUCAAGGAAAUAACGCCAUAGCAAAGCAGCUCUCGUGUCAUCGAUGCGGAAGAACUUAAGUUCAUAGCGUGCGAGUAAAUGGUGACAAUCAGUCGUCUAAUAGUCGCGAUUCUUCCAGUACAUCUUUGCAGCGCAAUGGUGCCGCCGUGCAAGGCGAGAGUGUUCACAAAGCACAACCAAAUUAUAAUUUCGACCCUUUGCCCAACGGGGAAGGGGGUGGCAGUGGUGAACGUGGUCAUAAGCUGUGUCCCAAAGUUGAGUGUGCACACUUCGAAGGCCACGGACUUCGAAGACCAGACCUCCGAAGUGCGUGAGAUGCUCCGCCUUCACAGGGUUUCCUAAUUCCGCCACCAGGUUUUUCCGAUUAGUGCUCUGUCGCAUAGCAACGGUGCGAGAAGAGCGCUGACGAGAGGACAGUCCUGCCAGGAUAGGAGUUUUUAUGUUUUUAUGAUUUACUCAUAAUGGAGGAGACGGUGAUGAACCUCAGGCUUAGCGAAGACCGAGGCCAGGUAAGUUACACUGGUUUGCUGCGAUCUUCGUCGGAUUACAACUUUAAAUGCAGGUACUGGCUUGAGCUUACUAUACGAAAAACUACAAAAUACACACAUAGCAGUUCAAAUGCUGACUGAUAUCUUACAAAGGUGCAAUUUUAUGUAGUUUAUAUUGUCUUGACCAUAUGUAGACAGGUUUGCAACCCGUAUUAUUUUUUUAUUUUUUUUUUUUAGGCAGUUAACCAUAAAAAUAAAACUGUAUUUAAAAAAAAAAAUAGAGCAUAGUACAGCUUAAUGUCCCGCAACUUUAAAUUUAAUAACCUUGAACAUAUUUAGAAGUAAACUGCAACAUACACAGAAGUGCAGCAGUAUUUUUAAUGUAAAACCAUCCUGACAAAUUCUUUUUUUCAAGACAAUACUGCACAUACCUUUACUUUUACUCUCAAUACCUUAAGUAUAUUAGAGUAUGCAAGAUAAUACUUUUACUUAAAGGAUAGUUCAGUCAAAAAUGAAAAUUGUGUAAUCAUUUACUCACCCUUCAGUUGCUCCAGGUUUGUAAUUUAUAUUUUUGGGUUUUAAAUCUGAGUAGUGGUUUUUCCCCAAUAUGGUAUUGGUAGUUACUAAAAGUAGUUUACUAAAGUAUGUCAAUAUUUCUUGUACUAAUUACGUUGUCAUAGCUCUUAACAAUUUCUCUUUUGCUUCUUUCCCUAAAUCAGACCAGACCCCUGUGCAGGAUAAAGCUGAAUGUGGCAGCGCUGGACAGGUGUUUAAUGGUUUUGUUCUGAGCAGGGAGACCCUGACUGUGCAGCUGGAUCUACUGAGAAGUGAACGGCAACAUGGAUGGUGUGCCACGAUCCAGACUCUGAUGUUUCUCUUCUGUCUGCCAGAGGUACAUCAUACAGAUGGUCUCCAGUGUUUGACAUGUGCCUCGUUCCACUGUCACCGCACUGUCCUCAGAGUCUCUGAGGAGGUGCUGGCCUUCACCAAGAGACUGACCUCCUGAAGACCCCAGAAUACACGGAGGCAGGGCCGGGCUCAAACUGAUGUUGUUUUCUGAUGUUAAACCUAAGCUAUGUUGUAAAUGGUUAUAAAAAGUACUUUCUAUUAUGUAUAGAACAAUUUGCUUUAAUGUGUAAAAAAGUAUUUACAGGACAAACAAAUAAACAUAUAAAAAUGUUUUGUGAAAAAAAAAAAAAUAAGCUGCAUUAAAAAUAAUGUACAUAAGCACUUUUUAUUUACACAAGUGAAUAUGCAAAAC
This is a long non-coding RNA of Cyprinus carpio carpio, 2359 nucleotides long. The record is from Ensembl. NCBI's taxonomy places the organism in Eukaryota, Metazoa, Chordata, Actinopteri, Cypriniformes, Cyprinidae.